UUACGUUGGUCCCUCCUCAAAGCCAAGGAGAAUUGUAACUCAAGAACACAAGAACUGUUUUUAUCAAUUUUCAAGUCUACCUCAUUACCAUGACUUAGAAGUCUUUAAAUACACAAAGGAAAGCAAAUGACCGUUCACAAAUCCUACAAACUAGGAAACAUGGAGAAAUGGGAAUGUGGAGAUCAAUCCCCUAAAACUUAGG
RNAcentral lists this long non-coding RNA (202 nucleotides) under Arabidopsis lyrata. Its description in RNAcentral is "long non-coding RNA (ALYR_LNC003161)". The record is from RNAcentral. Lineage: Eukaryota; Viridiplantae; Streptophyta; Magnoliopsida; Brassicales; Brassicaceae.